This is a long non-coding RNA of Dromiciops gliroides (monito del monte), 657 nucleotides long. RefSeq lists it as uncharacterized. The record is from RefSeq and is a predicted model, not a curated record. NCBI's taxonomy places the organism in Eukaryota, Metazoa, Chordata, Mammalia, Microbiotheria, Microbiotheriidae. The transcript is spliced from 3 exons.
GAAACCAAGCAAUGAAAACUCAUUCUCCACUGCUAGGGAAGAGGGGACCACAUAGCCAGGGCUUCCUUUAUCAUUUCCAGGGUAUCGUGAGGUCAAAAUGGAGGAAGCAGAGGAAUGGUUGGCUGACAACAAUAAUAUCUGACAUUAUUAAAGUCUCUUAAGUGCUCCCAACAACUCUGUGAGGAAUUUUGGCCCCUCAAUAGGAGCAAAGGAAAGAGAAAAGAGAUCCUAGAUGUGUAAAUAAAUGUACCCGUGGCUCCAAAGGGAGAAAAAAACUAUCUUCAAAACAGAUGAGAAGAAAUGGAAGAGACAAAUGCCCCCCAAACAACUUCAGAAGUACAAAGAACCUGAGUGGCCUAUCUAUUGCCUCACCCAGCUGGAAGACUUAGAAGUAAAACCAUGACUAAACGGAAAAGCAACUCAACCAUCACAGACAACUUUGCCUACUGACCUAAGACCAUAAACAAAACACAUGGCCACUAGGAGCCAAAUGGUCUACGUUCACUCUUUCAUGGUACCUCAACUGGGGAGAAAAAAGGUCCCUGAGCAGAUAGCGUUGUGUCCCUCCACUGCACCCCACACCUAUCCCAUGCCCUCCCCCCAUUUUUUAUGUGGAUGAAAUAUCAGCAUCAAGAGAAACUGUGAAGGAGAAUUAAG